RNAcentral lists this ribosomal RNA (468 nucleotides) under uncultured bacterium. RNAcentral's name for it is "partial 16S ribosomal RNA". It matches the Rfam family "Bacterial small subunit ribosomal RNA", at positions 28 to 507 of the family's 1533-position model. The record is from RNAcentral.
GACGAACGCUGGCGGCGUGCUUAACACAUGCAAGUCGAACGGAAAGGCCCUGCUUUUGUGGGGUGCUCGAGUGGCGAACGGGUGAGUAACACGUGAGUAACCUGCCCUUGACUUUGGGAUAACUUCAGGAAACUGGGGCUAAUACCGGAUAGGAGCUCCUGCUGCAUGGUGGGGGUUGGAAAGUUUCGGCGGUUGGGGAUGGACUCGCAGCUUAUCAGCUUGUUGGUGGGGUAGUGGCGUACCAAGGCUUUGACGGGUAGCCGGCCUGAGAGGGUGACCGGCCACAUUGGGACUGAGAUACGGCCCAGACUCCUACGGGAGGCAGCAGUGGGGAAUAUUGCACAAUGGGCGGAAGCCUGAUGCAGCAACGCCGCGUGCGGGAUGACGGCCUUCGGGUUGUAAACCGCUUUCGCCUGUGACGAAGCGUGAGUGACGGUAAUGGGUAAAGAAGCACCGGCUAACUACGUG